ACGGGAGGCAGCAGUAGGGAAUAUUGCACAAUGGGGGGAACCCUGAUGCAGCAACGCCACGUGUGGGAAGAAGCAUUUCGGUGUGUAAACCACUGUCGUGAGGGAAUAAUGCUUGGUCUAGGCCAAGUUGAAUGUACCUCGAAAGGAAGCACCGGCAAACUUCGUGCCAGCAGCCGCGGUAAUACGAGGGGUGCAAGAGUUGUUCGGAAGCACUGGGCGUAAAGGGAGCGCAGGCGGAGACGCAAGCAGUCUGUACAAUACCGGGGCCCAACCCCAGACCUGCAGACUGGACUGUGUCUCUUGGAUAGUUCAGGGGCAGGCGGAAUUCCUGGUGUAGCGGUGGAAUGCGUAGAGAUCAGGAAGAACACCGAUGGUGAAGGCAGCCUGCUGGGGACUCAUCGACGCUGAGGCUCGAAAGUGCGGGUAACAAACAGGAUUAGAUCCCUGGUA
RNAcentral lists this ribosomal RNA (450 nucleotides) under uncultured Fibrobacter sp. RNAcentral's name for it is "partial 16S ribosomal RNA". It matches the Rfam family "Bacterial small subunit ribosomal RNA", at positions 341 to 792 of the family's 1533-position model. Lineage: Bacteria; Pseudomonadati; Fibrobacterota; Fibrobacteria; Fibrobacterales; Fibrobacteraceae. The record is from RNAcentral.